This 481-nucleotide ribosomal RNA is filed under the name uncultured bacterium. RNAcentral's name for it is "partial 16S ribosomal RNA". It matches the Rfam family "Bacterial small subunit ribosomal RNA", at positions 28 to 507 of the family's 1533-position model. The record is from RNAcentral.
GAUGAACGCUGGCGGCGUGCUUAACACAUGCAAGUCGAACGAAGCAUUUAGAACAGUUUACUUCGGUUUGAAGUUGUUUAAGAGUGAGUGGCGGACGGGUGAGUAACGCGUGGGUAACGUGCCUUGUCCUGGGGGCUAGGAGCUGGACACGGCUGGUCAUACUGCUCAAGCGCACAAUGUUGCAUGGCAUGGUGCGGAAAACUCUGGUGGUAUAAGAUGGAACCGCGUUUGAUUAGUUAGUUGGUGCGACCACAGCCAACCAUGGCGAGAAUGCGUAGCCGAACAGUGAGACUGAGCGGCGACACUGAGACUUAGACGCGGCACAGACUCCUGCGGGAGGCAGCAGUGCGGAAUAUUGCACAAGGGAGGAAACGCUGAUGCAGCGACGUCGCGGGAGGGAAGAAUUUAUUGGUGAUGGAAAGCGCUAUCAGCAGUGAAGAUAUUGACGGUACCUGAUGAAGAAGCGCCGGCUAAAUACGUG